AUGAUGAGGGAGGCCGGAGCGUGGUUUCCCUGGCAGAUCCAUGGCAUCCGCGGCUCCUGGGCAGAAAGAAGAAUGGAGACGAGGGAGAGAAGAAGGAAAAAAGGAGGGGAGGUGCGGUGUCCUGGGCAGGAGCUCGCAGGAGCCGAGCGACGGAGGACGUGCGCUGCAGACGGAGGGAUUCAGAGCCGGCCGGUGGGGCGACACCAACCAGGCCAGGGGUGGCGUACGAAUGAGGACUUCAUCACCAUCAGAUCAUAUAUGUUGAAGCAUGUGAAAGUGGCAGUAUCUUUUGAGGGAUUAAUGCCACACGAUCUUAAUAUUUAUGUUACAACAGCAGCAAAUGCGGAAGAAAGUAGCUGGGGAGCAUACUGCCCUGGGAUGUAA
Molecule: ribosomal RNA, 384 nt
Filed under: Triticum aestivum (bread wheat)
Lineage: Eukaryota; Viridiplantae; Streptophyta; Magnoliopsida; Poales; Poaceae
Description: partial small subunit ribosomal RNA
Source: RNAcentral